RNAcentral lists this ribosomal RNA (253 nucleotides) under uncultured bacterium. Its description in RNAcentral is "partial 16S ribosomal RNA". It matches the Rfam family "Bacterial small subunit ribosomal RNA", at positions 524 to 776 of the family's 1533-position model. The record is from RNAcentral.
UACGUAGGGUGCAAGCGUUGUCCGGAAUUAUUGGGCGUAAAGAGCGUGUAGGCGGCCCCGUUAGUCCGCUGUGAAAGUCGGGGGCUCAACCCUCGGAUGCCGGUGGAUACUGUCGGGCUCGAGUACGGAAGAGGCGAGUGGAAUUCCAGGUGUAGUGGUGAAAUACGUAGAUAUCUGGAGGAAUACCGGUGGCGAAGGCGGUUAUCUGGCCCAACAUUGACACUGAGACCCGAAAGCGUGGGGAUCAAACAGG